CCCUUAGACGUUCUGGGCCGCACGCGCGCUACACUGACGAAGGCAACGAGCUUUCCUUUACCGAAAGGUACGGGUAAUCUUUUGAAACUUCGUCGUGCUGGGGAUAGAUCCUUGCAAUUUUUGAUCUUAAACGAGGAAUGCCUAGUAAGCGCAAGUCAUCAACUUGCGUUGAUUACGUCCCUGCCCUUUGUACACACCGCCCGUCGCGACUACCGAUUGAAUGGUUUAGUGAGGCCUUCGGAUCCGCGACUCGUUUGUGGAGAAGUUGGACAAACUCAGUCAUUUAGAGGAAGUAAAAGUCGUAACA
This 307-nucleotide ribosomal RNA is filed under the name uncultured eukaryote. Its description in RNAcentral is "partial 18S ribosomal RNA". It matches the Rfam family "Eukaryotic small subunit ribosomal RNA", at positions 1470 to 1796 of the family's 1831-position model. The record is from RNAcentral.